GAGCUUGCUCCACCGGAAAAAGAGGAGUGGCGAACGGGUGAGUAACACGUGGGUAACCUGCCCAUCAGAAGGGGAUAACACUUGGAAACAGGUGCUAAUACCGUAUAACAAUCGAAACCGCAUGGUUUUGAUUUGAAAGGCGCUUUCGGGUGUCGCUGAUGGAUGGACCCGCGGUGCAUUAGCUAGUUGGUGAGGUAACGGCUCACCAAGGCCACGAUGCAUAGCCGACCUGAGAGGGUGAUCGGCCACAUUGGGACUGAGACACGGCCCAAACUCCUACGGGAGGCAGCAGUAGGGAAUCUUCGGCAAUGGACGAAAGUCUGACCGAGCAACGCCGCGUGAGUGAAGAAGGUUUUCGGAUCGUAAACUCUGUUGUUAGAGAAGAACAAGGAUGAGAGUAACUGUUCAUCCCUUGACGGUAUCUAACCAGAAAGCCACGGCUAACUACGUGCCAGCAGCCGCGGUAAUACGUAGGUGGCAAGCGUUGUCCGGAUUUAUUGGGCGUAAAGCGAGCGCAAGCGGUUUCUUAAGUCUGAUGUGAAAGCCCCCGGCUCAACCGGGGAGGGUCAUUGGAAACUGGGAGACUUGAGUGCAGAAGAGGAGAGUGGAAUUCCAUGUGUAGCGGUGAAAUGCGUAGAUAUAUGGAGGAACA
RNAcentral lists this ribosomal RNA (652 nucleotides) under uncultured Bacilli bacterium. RNAcentral describes it as "bacterial SSU rRNA". It matches the Rfam family "Bacterial small subunit ribosomal RNA", at positions 76 to 708 of the family's 1533-position model. Lineage: Bacteria; Bacillati; Bacillota; Bacilli. The record is from RNAcentral.